AUACGUAGGGGGCGAGCGUUGUCCGGAAUGAUUGGGCGUAAAGGGCGCGUAGGCGGCCCGGUAAGUCUGGAGUGAAAGUCCUGCUUUUAAGGUGGGAAUUGCUUUGGAUACUGUCGGGCUUGAGUGCAGGAGAGGUAAGUGGAAUUCCCAGUGUAGCGGUGAAAUGCGUAGAGAUUGGGAGGAACACCAGUGGCGAAGGCGACUUACUGGACUGUAACUGACGCUGAGGCGCGAAAGUGUGGGGAGCAAACAGGAUUAGAUACCCUGGUAGUCCACACUGUAAACGAUGAAUGCUAGGUGUAGGGGGUAUCGACCCCUUCUGUGCCGCAGUUAACACAAUAAGCAUUCCGCCUGGGGAGUACGGCCGCAAGGUGGAAACUCAAAUGAAUUGGCGGGG
RNAcentral lists this ribosomal RNA (397 nucleotides) under uncultured bacterium. RNAcentral's name for it is "partial 16S ribosomal RNA". It matches the Rfam family "Bacterial small subunit ribosomal RNA", at positions 523 to 918 of the family's 1533-position model. The record is from RNAcentral.